RNAcentral lists this ribosomal RNA (497 nucleotides) under uncultured bacterium. RNAcentral describes it as "partial 16S ribosomal RNA". It matches the Rfam family "Bacterial small subunit ribosomal RNA", at positions 28 to 507 of the family's 1533-position model. The record is from RNAcentral.
GACGAACGCUGGCGGCGUGCCUAAUACAUGCAAGUAGAACGCUGAAGAGAGGAGCUUGCUCUUCUUGGAUGAGUUGCGAACGGGUGAGUAACGCGUAGGUAACCUGCCUGGUAGCGGGGGAUAACUAUUGGAAACGAUAGCUAAUACCGCAUAAAAUUGAUUAUUGCAUGAUAAUUAAUUGAAAGAUGCAACUGCAUCACUACCAGAUGGACCUGCGUUGUAUUAGCUAGUUGGUGAGGUAACAGCUCACCAAGGCGACGAUACAUAGCCGACCUGAGAGGGUGAUCGGCCACACUGGGACUGAGACACGGCCCAGACUCCUACGGGAGGCAGCAGUAGGGAAUCUUCGGCAAUGGGGGGAACCCUGACCGAGCAACGCCGCGUGAGUGAAGAAGGUUUUCGGAUCGUAAAGCUCUGUUGUAAGAGAAGAACGGGUGUGAGAGUGGAAAGUUCACACUGUGACGGUAUCUUACCAGAAAGGGACGGCUAACUACGUG